This is a long non-coding RNA of Cyprinus carpio (common carp), 951 nucleotides long. The record is from Ensembl. Lineage: Eukaryota; Metazoa; Chordata; Actinopteri; Cypriniformes; Cyprinidae.
AUGUUUCAAUCAUGCAAAUGCUUUUUUCUUUUUUUUUUUCCCACAGAUUUCCAUCUGUUGCUGAUCUUGCAUCUUUCCACGCUUGGCAGUGAAGAGCUGCAGACACCUGCAGACACAAAUCAGUUUAAGAGAUCUGCAGAUUUGGGCACAUUCUGCUACAGAAUAAACAGUCGACCGUUUGCCGCUCCGCUGGAUGCACAGGCAGCCCGUCCAGUGUGCAAGAUGCCCAAAUCUAAACACCCUCAUACUGAAAGAGAACCUGCUUUAAUCAGGGUCAGUAUUCCUCGCUCAACUCUGCAGCCAGCGUACUAAUACAAAGGCCAUCGCCGCUGCAGUUUUGAUCCCUCUGACAACCUGGGUUUGUCCUCAGUGAGUUUCAGAUAGUCAAAUCAGCUUUAACACUGAUUUCCCGAGUGAAAUAUACCGAGCAGACCAAUUAUUUUGGUGAUAUUUGACUUUUAAGAUUACCGCAUUGACUAAUAAUGUGUGUGGCAGCUUUGUUAAUGGCUAGCUCACAGUUUUAGUACUUUGAAUAUAUAGUAGUAUUUAGUUUUCAUGAUAAUUGUUAUUCUCAAAACCUUAAACAUGCAAAUAUGAAUUUUGCAGCACUGUUUGUCCAGAUGGUCCAAUCCCAUCCUGAAGUCUGACUUUGACCAUGAACUGGUGAGACAUUAUAUGGGAACACAGUCCAAGUUGCCCCUUCUACAUAUUUAUACUUGGCAGUUUGUCAGUUAUUAUUGCCAUUUCAAUAUCACUUCUUAUGAAAUCUGUAGAUUUAAUAAUAUGUAUUUUAUUACUGCUAAUGUCUGUUUUUUAAUGAACCUGCUUUAAAGGCUAAAGUGGUUUUAAGUCAGGUAUCAGGGUAGUUUUCAAAUCAGAUAAAAGAUAAUCUGAAAAUGUAGUUUCCCAGGAACCCUGAAACAAACAAAUAAACAAACAAAAAUCUAAUCA